This 522-nucleotide ribosomal RNA is filed under the name uncultured archaeon. Its description in RNAcentral is "bacterial SSU rRNA". It matches the Rfam family "Archaeal small subunit ribosomal RNA", at positions 321 to 848 of the family's 1478-position model. The record is from RNAcentral.
CCCUACGGGGSGCAYCAGGCGCGAAAACUUUACAAUGCGGGAAACCGUGAUAAGGGAACUCUGAGUGCCCGUUAAAUCGGGCUGUCCAUCAGUUUAAAAAACUGGUGAAGAAAGGGCCGGGCAAGACCGGUGCCAGCCGCCGCGGUAAUACCGGCGGCUCGAGUGGUGGCCACUAUUACUGGGCUUAAAGCGUUCGUAGCUGGUUUGUUAAGUCUCUGGGGAAAUCUUCCGGCUUAACCGGAAGGCGUCUCAGGGAUACUGGCAGACUAGGGACCGGAAGAGGUGAGAGGUACUCCAGGGGUAGGAGUGAAAUCCUGUAAUCCUUGGGGGACCACCUGUGGCGAAGGCGUCUCACCAGGACGGCUCCGACAGUGAGGGACGAAAGCUGGGGGAGCAAACCGGAUUAGAUACCCGGGUAGUCCCAGCCGUAAACGAUGUGCGUUAGGUGUAUCGGUGACCACGAGUCACCGAGGUGCCGAAGAGAAAUCGUGAAACGUACCGCCUGGGAAGUACGUCGCAAGG